RNAcentral lists this ribosomal RNA (562 nucleotides) under Fusarium sp. BAB-4357. RNAcentral describes it as "eukaryotic LSU rRNA". The stretch from base 181 to 334 matches the Rfam family "5.8S ribosomal RNA". Lineage: Eukaryota; Fungi; Ascomycota; Sordariomycetes; Hypocreales; Nectriaceae. The record is from RNAcentral.
CUUCCGUAGGGGAACCUGCGGAGGGAUCAUUACCGAGUUUACAACUCCCAAACCCCUGUGAACAUACCACUUGUUGCCUCGGCGGAUCAGCCCGCUCCCGGUAAAACGGGACGGCCCGCCAGAGGACCCCUAAACUCUGUUUCUAUAUGUAACUUCUGAGUAAAACCAUAAAUAAAUCAAAACUUUCAACAACGGAUCUCUUGGUUCUGGCAUCGAUGAAGAACGCAGCAAAAUGCGAUAAGUAAUGUGAAUUGCAGAAUUCAGUGAAUCAUCGAAUCUUUGAACGCACAUUGCGCCCGCCAGUAUUCUGGCGGGCAUGCCUGUUCGAGCGUCAUUUCAACCCUCAAGCCCUCGGGUUUGGUGUUGGGGAUCGGCGAGCCCUUUGCGGCAAGCCGGCCCCGAAAUCUAGUGGCGGUCUCGCUGCAGCUUCCAUUGCGUAGUAGUAAAACCCUCGCAACUGGUACGCGGCGCGGCCAAGCCGUUAAACCCCCAACUUCUGAAUGUUGACCUCGGAUCAGGUAGGAAUACCCGCUGAACUUAAGCAUAUCAAUAAGCGGAGGAA